This 202-nucleotide ribosomal RNA is filed under the name Klebsiella pneumoniae. RNAcentral's name for it is "partial 23S ribosomal RNA". It matches the Rfam family "Bacterial large subunit ribosomal RNA", at positions 1292 to 1498 of the family's 2925-position model. RNAcentral also lists the same sequence under 1 other name. Lineage: Bacteria; Pseudomonadati; Pseudomonadota; Gammaproteobacteria; Enterobacterales; Enterobacteriaceae. The record is from RNAcentral.
GAAUGCUGACAUAAGUAACGAUAAAGCGGGUGAAAAGCCCGCUCGCCGGAAGACCAAGGGUUCCUGUCCAACGUUAAUCGGGGCAGGGUGAGUCGACCCCUAAGGCGAGGCCGAAAGGCGUAGUCGAUGGGAAACAGGUUAAUAUUCCUGUACUUGGUGUUACUGCGAAGGGGGGACGGAGAAGGCUAUGUUAGCCGGGCGA